Molecule: long non-coding RNA, 1080 nt
Organism: Pongo pygmaeus (Bornean orangutan)
Lineage: Eukaryota; Metazoa; Chordata; Mammalia; Primates; Hominidae
Exons: 4
Source: RefSeq, a predicted model, not a curated record
CACACACAGGAGCGAAGGCAGCAGAGCCAAGCAGGAACCCGUCCUGCCCCAGGCCUGAGCUUUCUUAAGAGGCUCAUGGGGCAGAAAGCAACUGCACUGAGGCCAGAUCCCAAACUGAGCUCUGACGAGAUGGAGAAGCAAAGGACACAGUUCCUGCCCCCAAGGAGCUCCCAGCCAAGCAGGAGAGAAGGCUGUGGAAAUGAUCCUUCUGAUACCACAGCCUGCCAAUGUCAUCUAGAACUCUGGGGGAUUGGGGGAUUUGGUUUUAAAAAAAAACCCUGUCCUUAGCCAGGUGUGGUGGUGGGCGCCUGUAAUCCCAGCUACUUGGGAGGCUGAGGCAGGAGAAUCACUUGAACCCAGGAGUUGGAGACUGCAGUGAGCCAAGACUGUGCCACUGCACUCCAGCCUGGGUGACAGAGUGAGACUCUGUCUCAAAACAAAAAAUGAAAAACAAAAAUGAAAAAGAAAAACAAAAACAAAACCUUGUCUUGUAUUUUUGACUUUUAUUUUAUCCAAAUCAGGACUCCUGAAGAAUAUUUGACCUCAUAACUAUUGGGGGACACUGGGGCUCUCUGCCCAGGGACAGGAUGUUCUCUGCAGAUAUCAGGACGUGGGUGCCGAUGACAAGGGCGCUUUGCUGCCAUGGCCCGGGGCUGGAAGCACAGCUGUCAAAGGCCUGUGCUGGGGGCUUUCUGAGAGGUCAUCCGAUGAGAUGCUCACAGAGGCGUUGGAUGUGAUAGAGGAGGACCUGGGAUGCCAAGAAGAGGAACCGCAUGAAGGCUUGCAGCUAGCAGCGGGCACAGCGGAGACUCGACCCUGGCGAUCUUGGAGGAGGAAAUAUGUCAGAACCGACAUGAGCACUGACCAGCCUACCAGGUCCUUUCCAAUCGCAGUGAAAUCAGCCGUUAAAGAUGCUCAUCUCAAGAGGAGAACGAGUCUCUUAUGCUUCUGGGGAGAAAUCACCAUCUGGUGAGGGUUUCCUGGCCUUUGGGGGUCCCCCUGCCACCUCCUCUGAGCCAUCUGGGGCUCCCCUGCAUUUUCCCCUUACUUGAGAACUGUAACCCUUAGGGAUCAGAGGGA